This 216-nucleotide long non-coding RNA is filed under the name Physcomitrium patens. Its description in RNAcentral is "long non-coding RNA (PPAT_LNC005244)". Lineage: Eukaryota; Viridiplantae; Streptophyta; Bryopsida; Funariales; Funariaceae. The record is from RNAcentral.
AGACCUUGAUAGUGUCUUUGCUGAAAUAACACUAGUAUUUGAGAGUUUUAUGAGAAAUUGAGUCAUUUUGAGUGAGGUGAUGUGAGGGAGAUGUUUGAAAGCCAUAGAAUUACAUGACAUAGCAUUUCCCACCAUUUACACGUGAUUUGGACUCAAAGUAUGCAAAAAGUUGCAAAACAGCGAAUUCUGAGUUUGUAGUUCAGCAAUCUUUGAGUA